RNAcentral lists this long non-coding RNA (2444 nucleotides) under Helianthus annuus (common sunflower). Its description in RNAcentral is "hypothetical non coding rna". Lineage: Eukaryota; Viridiplantae; Streptophyta; Magnoliopsida; Asterales; Asteraceae. The record is from RNAcentral.
GAUCUCAAAACUUUUUAAUCGUUCACAAUUGCUACUUAAACCAUAAUUAUAUUUUAGGGAAUGGGCGAGUGGCACGAAUUGUCAUGGCUGCUGCUGUAAAGAAUCUGACACCUGUAGUCUUAGAACUUGGAGACAAAUCUCCUGUUUUGGUCGAUUCAAACAUCGACUUAGUGUUACAAUUGAAGGUACGGAGUUCCUGAUGGGUGUGAUGUGGAUCGGGACGAGGAGACGUCUCGGAUACAAUGCUGGUGAACUAAAGAGGGAGGAUUUGAAAGGCUAGGCUUCUGCUACACACCCGACUACAACGAUGAUUUGGGAUUGUAAGGCGUCUGCUACUUCUGGUGAUCUUAUUAGGCUUAAUGGUGGUGGUGUGUUGAUUUAGUCGUCUGCAAAUCCUCCUAACCGAGUUGAUUCUGUAUCUGGUGUUGAUGAACUAUUCAUGUUAGGGCUUCGGUGGUGCCGAUUAGUUUUGAGACAUUAUGCAACAUGGCUAGGUUAAUGGAAGAAAUACAUAGGUGGCAAUGACUAGCUAUGCAGAAGGUAUUUUUAUAGCGUUUUCAUCAGGUUUUUAUUUCGUUUUCUUCUUGCAGUUUACGAAACUACACUUGAUCGACGUUGAUAAUAUUCUAUUUUAAAAAUGCUUUCUGAUCUUAUACACUUUUGUAGAAGUAAAUUAGGGCUCGAAAUUGGCCCAAAUUUUUAUGAUCUUUUUAGUUAAGUUUGUCAUUCUAGUAACAUUAGCAUGGAAAUACCAUGUUAUAUUUAACACAAGAUUCGUAUGAUCAGUAAACCACUAAAAUCUGUUAAUGCGUUGGAAAGAUUGUAAUUCAUAUUUUAUAAAGUUAAUCAAUAUCAUUAUUGUCUCAUGACAAAGAUCUCUCAGUUGACACAUGUGAAUGAAACGAAGAAAAAGAUAGAAACGUUAGCAAGGAUUUCUAUUGUAUCAAAAUGUAGGGAUGAGCUUGGUACCAACCAGUACCGAAAAUCACAAAAAAUACGUACCGGUAUCGAAAAUAACCGGUAUGGUACGGACCGGUAAUUGAAGGUAAAAACCAGUACCGAAAACGCUGAAUGUCGGUACCGAAAAUCAAGUCGGGUCGGGAAAGUACCCGUACCGGUUCUGAACCGGUACCUGAUACCAUUUGCUCAUCCCCUCGAAAGGUGUCAUCGGUAAUAUAGUAAUAUUUCAAAUUUUAAUCAAAAGUGAACGUUUGUAAAAACUUUUUAUAUCCAUAUUUAGUUAGCGCAUACAAUAUUUAUUAAAUUCAAGAAAUAUUUAUCAAAUUCAAGGAAUGGGCAAAAAGUAUAUGAGGGUUGUUUUAUCCGUUUUAAAUUUACCCCUCAUACAACUAUUUGACCUGGACAUGCAGGAGAAGCAAAGUCUUUGAAGGUUGAAAAGAGACACAAAUCUAACUAUGGUAUCAGGUAUUUUUUUUUCCUAAAUUCUAAUACCAACUAUUGUUUUAAAAAACAUAGCUUUGGGAAAAUUCACAACAAAAGUUUGUUAUAUAUAUCAUGACACUGUUUUGUACUUUCUGGUGUGUCACAAUUUGAUUUUUUUUUUUUUUUUACUUUUUAGCUAAAGAAUUCAAAAAACUUUAACUCAAUCUGUGUGAUGUGUUGAAUGAAGGAUUUAGAUCUCUUUGAGUUUCCAAUGAGGGAUAACUUUGUUAACUACUUUUAAUUAAAACAUGCUAUGAACUGUUGUGUGUUAAUUUUUAUCAAGUUUUUUUUCAUUAGAUGGUGGUGACCACAAUUGUAAAAAAAUAAAAAGGAGCCAACAACUUCGAACAACUAGAAAAUAGUUCCCCUGACGACCAUCUCACUUUAACAACUGAGAACUACUAGAAAAAGUAUAGCCUAUAAUCCCUAUUUUUGUUUUUAUUUUUUACGCACCACUUAUCUUAUAGAACUUCUUAUACCUUCCAUCAUCUUUAUUGUAGUGAAUCAUAUUAUUUCAUACUUCUUUUCAGAAUAAGAAUAAGUAUCAUGCCUUUUAGUUAUGAUAUGAAGGUACAUGUGUCAUUGUAGUGGAUGCUUAAAGAAAGGGCUAACAAUAAGGGUUUGGACAAAAAGGUGGAUCUAAAAAUUAGGGAUGAGGAUGGUGGUGAGUUGGAUGUCGUUUUGCUUUUGAGUAUUUGAUGGGCUAUGAAAGAGAUAAUAUCAAGGGAUGGAAGACUUUUGUUAUAGACAAAGGAUUGGUUUUUGAUGAUCAGUGUGAGUUCAGGUUUUUUAAAGCAACAUGUAUAUUAUUGCUUACUGGAUUUGUGAAGAGAGGUUGAAAGAAGGUGGUCAACAUUUUGUUAAUAGUUUUUGUAUAUAAAAGGUACAAUGUCUUUAGUAUGUUGGUUUUAAAAACUUUUGGACAUCAUGUGUUUUACUUAUGGUUUACUUCGUGCACAAACAAAAUUUACAUAUUAUGCAAGUAGGAGGGUUUGUUGCUU